UCCUGGCUCAGAUUGAACGCUGGCGGCAGGCUUAACACAUGCAAGUCGAACGGUAACAGGAGAAAGCUUGCUUUCUUGCUGACGAGUGGCGGACGGGUGAGUAAUGCUUGGGAAUCUGGCUUAUGGAGGGGGAUAACGACGGGAAACUGUCGCUAAUACCGCGUAGAGUCGAGAGACGAAAGUGCGGGACCGCAAGGCCGCAUGCCAUAGGAUGAGCCCAAGUGGGAUUAGGUAGUUGGUGGGGUAAUGG
Molecule: ribosomal RNA, 250 nt
Filed under: uncultured bacterium
Lineage: Bacteria
Description: partial 16S ribosomal RNA
Rfam family: Bacterial small subunit ribosomal RNA
Source: RNAcentral